GAAAUGCGAUACGUAGUGUGAAUUGCAGAAUUCCGCGAAUCAUCGAGUUUUUGAACGCAAGUUGCGCCCGAGGUCUAGUGCCGAGGGCAUGCCUGCCUGAGCGUCAUGUGCCCAACCCACCGACUCUCUCUUCUCUCCCCUUUGGGAGGGAGAGUGGUGAAGCUGGCGGUCCGGGAGCAAAGGGCUCGCGGUCGGCUGAAAUGCAGCGAAGUCUGGACGAGGCGGUGCGGGAGCCGCAGUCAGGUGGUUCGCCCUUUGGGGGCGAAGGCUGUUUGAGCGGCCCUGUGCCGCCGGUCCCCAUGACUUUGUGAAAAAAUCAGGUGGAUGUGCCGGCUCCCCGAGGGAGAGUCGGCGAUCCAUGUUAUUAUCCCUGUUGACCUCAGAUCAGGCAAGACUACCCGCUGAGUUUAA
Molecule: ribosomal RNA, 411 nt
Filed under: Nothoceros vincentianus
Lineage: Eukaryota; Viridiplantae; Streptophyta; Anthocerotopsida; Dendrocerotales; Dendrocerotaceae
Description: eukaryotic LSU rRNA
Rfam family: 5.8S ribosomal RNA (bases 1-106)
Source: RNAcentral